AAAGGUUUGGUCCCGGCCUUCUUAUUGGUUACUAGGAAACUUAUACAUGCAAGUAUCCGCCCGCCAGUAAUAC
RNAcentral lists this ribosomal RNA (73 nucleotides) under Loxodonta africana (African savanna elephant). RNAcentral describes it as "partial 12S ribosomal RNA". Lineage: Eukaryota; Metazoa; Chordata; Mammalia; Proboscidea; Elephantidae. The record is from RNAcentral.